RNAcentral lists this ribosomal RNA (246 nucleotides) under uncultured bacterium. RNAcentral describes it as "partial 16S ribosomal RNA". It matches the Rfam family "Bacterial small subunit ribosomal RNA", at positions 15 to 263 of the family's 1533-position model. The record is from RNAcentral.
GAUCAUGGCUCAGAUUGAACGCUGGCGGCAGGCUUAACACAUGCAAGUCGAGCGGGGAAAGGUAGCUUGCUACCUGACCUAGCGGCGGACGGGUGAGUAAUGCUUAGGAAUCUGCCUAUUAGUGGGGGACAACAUCUCGAAAGGGAUGCUAAUACCGCAUACGUCCUACGGGAGAAAGCAGGGGACUUUCGGGCCUUGCGCUAAUAGAUGAGCCUAAGUCGGAUUAGCUAGUUGGUGGGGUAAAGG